Molecule: ribosomal RNA, 2123 nt
Filed under: uncultured archaeon
Lineage: Archaea
Description: 16S ribosomal RNA
Rfam family: Archaeal small subunit ribosomal RNA
Source: RNAcentral
CUGGUUGAUCCUGCCGGACCCGACCGCUAUCGGGGUGGGGCUUAGCCAUGCGAGUCAAGCGCCCCAGGGACCCGCUGGGGUGCGGCGCACGGCUCAGUAACACGUGGCCAACCUACCCUCGGGAGGGGGAUAACCCCGGGAAACUGGGGCUAAUCCCCCAUAGGGGAAGGGUGCUGGAAGGCCCCCUCCCCGAAAAGAGCCACGUCCGGCACCCGGCGUGGCUCGCCCGAGGAUGGGGCUACGGCCCAUCAUGGUAGCUGGCGGGGUAACGGCCCGCCAGGCCGAAGACGGGUGGGGGCCGUGAGAGCGGGAGCCCCGAGAUGGGCACUGAGACAAGGGCCCAGGCCCUAUGGGGUGCAGCAGGCUCGAAUACUCCGCAAUGCGGUAACCCGCGACGGGGCCACCCCGAGUGCCGCCCGAUGAGGGCGGCUUUUCCCCCGUGUAAGGAGCGGGGGGAAUAAGCGGGGGGCAAGUCUGGUGUCAGCCGCCGCGGUAAUACCAGCUCCGCGAGUGGUUGGGGCGUUUACUGGGCCUAAAGCGCCCGUAGCCGGCCCGGUAAGUCACCCCUGAAAUCCAUGGGCUCAACCCAUGGGCCGGGGGUGAUACUGCCGGGCUUGGGGGUGGGAGAGGCCGAGGGUACUCCCGAGGUAGGGGCGAAAUCCGAUAAUCUCGGGAGGACCACCAGUGGCGGAAGCGCUCGGCUGGAACACGCCCGACGGUGAGGGGCGAAAGCUGGGGGAGCAAAGGGGAUUAGAUACCCCUGUAGUCCCAGCUGUAAACGAUGCGGGCUAGCUGUUGGGUGGGCUUAGUGCCCGCCCAGUGGCGUAGGGAAGCCGUUAAGCCCGCCGCCUGGGGAGUACGGCCGCAAACCCGGCAUGGGGCAAUACCCCAACCGGGGCGGAGGGCUGAAACUUAAAGGAAAGGGAGGGUGGGCUGGAAUACUUGGAUACUUUUUCUGCCACAGAUGGGUUAAAUUAAUGGUCAAUAACCUAGGUUGGUAUUCUACUUGAGUCUAAGGGGUGAUAAUUCUUAUGUGUAAUUCCAAUGAGGGUUCCGUGGGUGAGCCUGUUAUUUCAAUAAGGGCAUAUUAUACUUGUUUAUUUCCAGUCCCACCUCCCCCUGAGUUGGCGGGGGGGCACCACAAGGGGUGAAGCUUGCGGCUUAAUUGGAGUCAACGCCGGAAACCUCACCCGGGGCGACAGCAGGAUGAAGGCCAGGCUAACGACCUUGCCGGACGAGCUGAGAGGAGGUGCAUAGGGGGUAAUCCCCCACUAGGUGAGUAAUAUUAACAUAUUAUAUAUAGGUUUAUAGUGAUUAGAAGCAUAUUCAGUGGGGGAGCCUCCGCAUAGGGCCGUCGCCAGGCACGCCCAUGGUUCCCAUGGCGUUAAAGUACUCCAUAUAUUAAGGGAAUUUUGAAUGCUAAAGAGAAUUGGGAACUAUGGCGUGGGCGAACUCGUGCCGUGAGGUGUCCAGUUAAGUCUGGCAACGAGCGCGACCCCCGCUCCCUGUUGCUACCCUACCCUUCGGGGUGGGGGGCACACAGGGAGGACUGCCGGCGUAAGCCGGAGGAAGGAGGGGGCCACGGCAGGUCAGUAUAGGGGCUCGUCCCCAUUAGGGGAGGGUCCUGCUGAAGCCCCGAAAGCCGUGGCCCUCAGGUAGAGAUGGAUUUAAACGGGGAAUAAGAUACGUUUAGAAGGGGUAUGUUCCAUUAAGGAUAAUCGAAUUUAAUACCUUUUCUUUCAUCCUACCCUUUCAUCCUACCUGAGGGCGCGGCCGGGAGACCCCGGGGCUGCACGCGAGCUGCAAUGGCGGGGACAGCGGGUUCCGACCCCGAAAGGGGGAGGCAAUCCCGUAAACCCCGCCCCAGUAGGAAUCGAGGGCUGUAACUCGCCCUCGUGAACGUGGAAUCCCUAGUAACCGCGUGUCACCAAGGGAUUGGGCCGAAGGAUUUGCAAGCUAGUAAUCAUCGGUAACUGUCUUAGAAUAUUGGAAGGUGAAUUCAAUCUCGUAUUUGUAAAUAGUUUACCUACUAAAGAGUUAAUAAUCUCCUUAUUGUCUGAUCCUUAUGCAUUUUCCUUUGGCCCAUCCCGUGAAUACGCGCGGUGAAUACGUCCCUGCCCCUU